RNAcentral lists this transfer RNA (69 nucleotides) under Ictidomys tridecemlineatus (thirteen-lined ground squirrel). RNAcentral describes it as "Spermophilus tridecemlineatus (thirteen-lined ground squirrel) tRNA". It matches the Rfam family "tRNA". Rfam says of the family: Transfer RNA (tRNA) molecules are approximately 80 nucleotides in length. Their secondary structure includes four short double-helical elements and three loops (D, anti-codon, and T loops). Lineage: Eukaryota; Metazoa; Chordata; Mammalia; Rodentia; Sciuridae. The record is from Rfam by way of RNAcentral.
GGUGUUGCAGCUCAGUGGUAGAGCACUUGCCUAGCAUGUAUGAAGCACUGGGUUUGAUCCUCAGCACCA